Molecule: long non-coding RNA, 766 nt
Organism: Pectinophora gossypiella (pink bollworm)
Lineage: Eukaryota; Metazoa; Arthropoda; Insecta; Lepidoptera; Gelechiidae
Exons: 3
Source: RefSeq, a predicted model, not a curated record
GGCAGAACAUUCUGCGCGGGGAAAAAAAGUGUUAAGUACUUUUAAAAUACGCAAUUUUUUGCGCUAACGCGAGUGAUAAAGUGUUUGCAAUAAUAGUAAAUAAUAUUAUAAUCUCACGUCUAAAAGAUAAAUAGCUAAUAACAACAAGCACACGACUAUAUUGACUUAUGGGGUAGUCGUACAGCGCAAGAUAAAUCAAACUACCCGCAUUUCACCGACCUUUGUUAAUACUAAAGUGAGCCGUAUCGCCUUCUGUAAUAGACGAUACUCGUAUAACGAACUUUGAUAGUCAUGAGACGAGUCUACGUCAGUCAUGUCAGGGGCCUUUGGCGGGUCAAUAACCAUGAUACCAGGGUUGAUGAGGUUGGUAAUCUACCCCAUAACCCACACGAUAAGAAGAAUACAGUGAAAAUUGUGCUUAUGAUAAAUUAAUAACUUACCGGACCUGUCAAAUCUUCAGGUUAGGUAAGUGGACCCUGUGGAAACGGGACAAUGCUGAUGAUGAUGAUAAAUUAAUAACUCAUUAGUGCAAAUCCGGUACCUACCGGGAAUCGAACCUGCUCUCCCCUCUUGAGAAGCAGAAAAUGACAGUGACUCUCUUGUGUGUGAAUAAUAGAUUAUAAUCAAGUACAAAAGUGGACUAAUGUGAUUACAUGCCGGUACCCCGCCGGAGAGGUGGCGAGAGCUGACGUCAACAAGAGGAUCCGUCCAUAUCCAAGAAGGUGGCCCAACGGACUGGUGAUCAUAGGAGGUCCUGCAUCGCACG